UAUAAGUCGCGUUGGAUAGAAUCAUCUCUUGUAUGCCCUGAGAAGUGAAACGAGAAAAACAUGGACGCCCGGAACAUUGAGCAUAUCUCUUACUCUCUAUUACAUAGUCCUGAUUAUACAUGAUUGUGAUCAGUAUAUUGACGUACAAAAUGAUCCACAGGAUGACAAUUUGAACUGUUGUCCUUUUGGUACCACGGGUACAUCGUGAAUCAAGAAUGUGCGUCACCUAUUGUGAAGGCAUAAGGGAUCCAAGAUGUUUAUUUGAUGGUUUGUUUCAGCCUCAUUUGGCCCAUCCCUGCCCUGCGGAGGGCCAGGCAGUCUGCCCCUCAAAUCUCCAGCUGGGCUUCACUGACACGCCUACCUGUCAGCUGGUCUCGAACGGACUCUGUGGAACAACAGUACAUGGUGUACAGAGGGCCGGGGAGGGGGGCCGCAGAGGGACCCCUGCUGAGGCUGCUGGCCACGGACCCGCACCGUUGUCCGGGCGACGCUCCAGCAACCUGACCCAGCUGGCCGAGGACGACCUAUGAGCUCUGAGGGCUCUUUAACCUGUGGUCGUGUGGUGGACACAGAGGACUCUGGCCGACCCUGGGUGUGGUGAUACUCAGGCCCCCCUGCCCGGUGGAGAAUGAAGGAUCACGUGAUGGACGGAUCGUCGUUACUAUGAACGGACCCUUUUUGGUUAAUUCCUUUUAAAAGAGCAGCUGGUUUUCUGGUGGCUCAACGUUGCCAUUGCAGCUGUGUAUGGACCGCACGCUGUUUGAGCUGCGUUGACACUAUCAACACAUACUCUGGAUAGUGUGUGCAUCCUUUCUGUCAGUUUCAGCUUUUACUUAUUUUGAGAAUGUCUAUCUUACUUUUUGUCUUUCAAGGGGCAAGGGGUAAAUUCGGUGUGAGAUGAAAAAACUAAAUCCAUUCCUGAUUGGGGCUGUCACUGGAGCUUUAUGUGUGCAUUUUUAAGUUGGUGUGUGAGUGUACAAUUCAUGUUUGUUUGUCUGUGUGUGUGCAUGGUUUAUUAUUUUGUGUACAGGUUCGGCAGUAGCUUAAUGUGCAAACAGUCAGAUCGGUUUGGCUGUCAACGCUAUCCAAUCGAUAGAACUCAUCAUGAAAUUCUUCGUCUCGUCACACUUGGACAUUUGCUUUAUGUCGAGCCAAACUAUUAAUUUCAAGGGUUAUCAUGUCAUUCCCUCCUCAUGCUGUUAGCCUGGUGUUUGCUGUUGGUUUACAAAGGAAUGCAAAAGGCCACACUCGACCUAAAGGAAGUCUGAAGGGCUGAACUCAUUUAAGUUUCAAGGGAAGAAACUUCCUCUGCUGCCUCGGUGUGAGAGAGACGCAAUACUCAGAUAUUCUGUUUGACUAAAGACUGGCUCGGGCCUAUUUGAUCUGCACCAAAUAAAAGGAACGAGGGAGGCCCCUGGAGGUUCUCUGGGGGUGUGGCAUCCAGCCCAGAAUAUGUCUACUCAUUGAGAAACUUCAAGCAAAGAUAGUGGACGGUCAAAAGCAAGCAGCUAUGCGGAUAACAAUCGGACAAGUCACGCGAAGAGAGGUGGGAAUAAGCCGCCCGUCUGAGCACAACACCGAUCAGCCCGAGGCCUAAUUAGAGGUUCUCCGAAAAGAAAGGCAUCGGCUCAAAACCUUUAGAUGAAGUUCAAUUCGUUUCUGUGGUCAUGUCAGAUGUUGUCACUUCAAGGUUAAUAUUUGGAGAAGGUCUCUCCGAUUUUCUUUUGUUAGUUUACCCCACAGCGUAGGCCUGCUAUGCUCCCCAUUUCAACCCCACGUAUAGGCUACACAGUUCCACUUUAUUCCAACGAAUACAGUUUAACGGAUUGUUCUGAAGGAUUCUGAAGGAUAAGUUAUCACUUAAAAAUCUCGAUUUUUUUAAUCCUUUGCAUGGUCUUGUUUCUUUCGACUAGUGCCAAAAACAAAGAGCAUGCUUUUCAAAAUGCACCGCGUUCACUCCAUUGUGCUUAUUGCCAGUAACGCAUGAUCACAUGUGGGUGUUAAGGACUUGUAAUGUCCACCGGAGUAGGCUGAACCGAAAGAAGAGAUGUGCUUUGUUAUUCUAUCAUUGUCAAUGUGUCUUUGUGGCCAGUAGAGGUCCCCAUAGGGCCGUCACUGGCUCAGCUUGACCUAUAAACACACGUCAUAAUACGAUGCUCUCAUCAUUAAAAAACUCAAAUGUUCUAAUCAAUGAACGCUACUACAAUAUACCAAAUAGAAAUAUUGACAUGAAGGUUUGUCAUAUUACAGAGCCUGCGUCCCCCUCUUAUUCGUUGCAUGUUUGAUAAAGGAACAAAAACGACAGGGAACCCUUACCGUUACCACAGAACCAUACUGACUAAAGACUGAGAAUGUUGGUUGUUGCCUUCGAGGAUCGUAGUAGAAUAUGUUGUAUUGUAUCAAAUAAAAAAACUUUUUUUAAAUGAAAUUAAAUGAGUUGAUUAAUUUUAAAUGGGCUUUAUUCAUUUACAUAAAAGUUUUACAUAUACGCCUACUUAUUUUACCUGUAAGAAUUCAUAUCGACCAUUCCAUGGAGUUAAUUUAUAUUUGAUGCAACAAGCCAUUAGGCCCAGACAUACUUCAUAAACCAGAUGAUAAAGUGUUACGUUUACAAUCCCAGAAAAUAAAGUAAUCAAUCUGACAAAAGGGCCAGGUAUUUCACUUCAUUUUUAGUGCAUUACCCCAGCAAAGAAAGUUCAAACAGCCGGGAGACAAAGAGAAGGAACCCCUGGAUAGGCAGACAUCUGGUUGACUGGCCAUUGAAUAAAGGCCCAUUCUGAGUAGUAAAGCAGGCCAUCGUAACCCGGCUGUGAUAUAUGGAGGCUGUGGGAGAGAGGAGUGGUG
This is a long non-coding RNA of Gadus morhua (Atlantic cod), 2844 nucleotides long. Lineage: Eukaryota; Metazoa; Chordata; Actinopteri; Gadiformes; Gadidae. The record is from Ensembl.